RNAcentral lists this ribosomal RNA (253 nucleotides) under uncultured bacterium. RNAcentral's name for it is "partial 16S ribosomal RNA". It matches the Rfam family "Bacterial small subunit ribosomal RNA", at positions 524 to 776 of the family's 1533-position model. The record is from RNAcentral.
UACGUAGGGGGCAAGCGUUGUCCGGAUUUAUUGGGCGUAAAGAGCGUGUAGGCGGCCAGACAGGUCUGCUGUGAAAACUCGAGGCUCAACCUCGAGACGCCGGUGGAAACCGUCUGGCUAGAGUCCGGAAGAGGAGAGUGGAAUUCCCGGUGUAGCGGUGAAAUGCGCAGAUAUCGGGAAGAACACCCGUGGCGAAGGCGGCUCUCUGGGACGGUACUGACGCUGAGACGCGAAAGCGUGGGGAGCGAACAGG